This 2236-nucleotide long non-coding RNA is filed under the name Chinchilla lanigera (long-tailed chinchilla). Its description in RNAcentral is "lncRNA (ENSCLAG00000027954.1)". The record is from RNAcentral. Lineage: Eukaryota; Metazoa; Chordata; Mammalia; Rodentia; Chinchillidae.
AUGUUGGAAAUGCAAACAGAAACUGUAGACUUUUACAUUAUAAACUUUUUCAAACAACAGGUCUGUUGCAUGCUGACACAAAUAACAUGCUUCUCUGAAAAAAAAAAUCAGUGUUUUCUAAAAGAAAAAAAGUUCGCAACAAGAAGAAUUGAUUUACAUUUUUUGCAAAUUCCUUUCAUGUCUGAAGUAAUGAAAGAUGGUUCUCCAUCUCCCUUUGCAACCAAACUGUUGUAUAGGAAAUGUCUGAUCACCUCCGGGAAACUCCACUCCAGGGCAGCAAGAAAAAUAACUUCCUGGGGACAUUACGCAAAUAGUUUGGCCUCAAACACCCACCAAAACGGCUGCACGUGCCUACCGGCUCAGGAUAUGGAUGGGAACAGAGCGGCUGGGUUAUCAGAGGCCAUCUCCCCACAUGAUGUGGACAGGAGGAAGCCAGAACAAAAGCGUCUGUGCCGUUGUCACCAGUGAGCUGAGGGGUUUUCUGCCCAGUUAAGAUGGAAAUCACAAAUGGACAAAGUGCAGCUUCUUUGCUGUUAGCGGCUCCAGGUUUUGAGUGCCUGUGGCUCCUGCCCCUUAGCGAGACAGCUCCAGGCAGUUCCUAGGCGCCCCGUCAGCUCCCCUGCAGCUCAGGCUCAGAGCCCUCUUGGCAUUUCCGGAGCUCCCCAAGGGCUCCUGCUCCCUUUCUGGCAUCCUCUGCGGGCCACCACCUGUUACCACUCAUCAGCAUCAGUGGAUUAGUCUUGGCUCUCUCACCAGUCACCAGGGAUGUCUGCCUUUGCUGCUGGUCUCUGCCCCGGUCCCUGCCAAUCACUGCUGGUCUCUGGAACUCCUGAGUGCUUGCAGUCUCUCCAAUGUGACUUGCUCUGCCCACACUUCCAGGACAGGAAUCACCAGUAGUUGUAUAGGACCACGAGAGUGAGGCUUUAUUUGUACCCAGCAGCAGCACCAGGGGGGGUCAGGACACCACAGGGAGCCCUUCUUGCGGAAACCAAGAGCAUGAGUGUGAACUGCUUCUACGGACCCUGCCACAUGCAGUUGUGUACAUGCUGUGGACCUGCCUGAGCACUUUCGCAGUGAUAACAGAGGGAGGGGCAGCUCAGGACAGUCACCAGCAGGGCCUGCAGGGUGGAGUCAACAUGGGUAGGUCCACAUCUUAGGCUGGCUGCAGCCAAGGCAGAAUCGUCUCCCAGAGCCCACGGCACCCUGGGGAUCGUCACAGCACCUAGAGAGGCUCAGAAGAGCUUCGGGAGGAGCAGCUGCUUGAAUGGCAGCUACUGCCUCUCUCCCAAGUGUGGGGCUGAAGUCAUGACCACAGCUGCUCUGGAGACGUCUUUAGUGGGACUGGCUGUUGAAGGAAUCACAGAUAUCAGCGACGGGCCGCAGCAGUCCCCCGAUCUUUGCCCUGUCCAGUCAGAUUAUCAGUGAGUCUGUCCUCCUUGGUUUGCAGCCCCCAAGUCAGCCAUCUGCAGACACCUAGAAUUCACCAGACUGCUGGGCUGGUCCACCUCAAGUUAAGUGGACAUCACGAGUAAUGAUCAUAAGGCGUGUGUGUGUGUGUGUGUGUGUGUGUGUGUGUGUGUGUGUGUAUGAAAUCCAGCCACAGUGCCUAGCAGGCCACACUGCCCAGGCAGGACUGUCCCUCCAGGAAAGGGUACCUCCUGGCACUUGGUGAUUGUUCAGAGGCCUGUGGGGCCUCAGGGCCACCCUCUGGGCCUCUGGCCCAGACCAGAAGCCUGUUUCCCCCUGGGGGACCACACUGUCCCGCCCCACCUGGGGCCCAAGUGAGUGCAGCCCCUUCCUGGGAAGCCGUGCUCCUCCCAUGGAAGGAAGCUGCAGCCGAGGCCAGCAUGGGAAGGACAGAAUGCUUCACCCCCUCCUGUUACUGUACAGAUGAUGUUAACCUUCAGCACCAAGCAACCACAGUGCUAUGGUUGACACAUCGUGUCAACUUAGGGAGUCUAGAGGUUUGGCUAAGCGACUCAGCAGGAACCUCAGCUUACUUUGUAUACAUCCUGAGCCUGUGCAAGAGGAAGGCAUGGAGAUUAUGUGAAAGCUACACGUGCCUGGGUGGGGUAGCCUGUUUACAAUGUAAGGGAGGGAAAGAGGCUGCUUGCUGUUCCCCUCUUUUGUGCCUGUUGUCUUUGCUGUUGCCCCCUACCCUGUGCCACCCUGCCUUGGAGCCAGCCAAGAAUGGACUGAAACCUCCACAAACUGUGAGCUAAAUAAACCUUUCCUU